GCCCCCGUAGCUCAAAUGGACAGAGCGGUCGGCCUCUACCCGACAGGUUCCAGAUUCGAAUUCUGGCAGGGGCA
This 74-nucleotide transfer RNA is filed under the name Elusimicrobiota bacterium. Its description in RNAcentral is "Elusimicrobia bacterium tRNA-Arg". The record is from RNAcentral. Lineage: Bacteria; Pseudomonadati; Elusimicrobiota.